This 99-nucleotide non-coding RNA is filed under the name human gut metagenome. Its description in RNAcentral is "SAM riboswitch (S box leader)". It matches the Rfam family "SAM riboswitch aptamer (S box leader)". From Rfam's summary of the family: The SAM riboswitch is found upstream of a number of genes which code for proteins involved in methionine or cysteine biosynthesis in Gram-positive bacteria. The SAM riboswitch acts at the level of transcription termination control. The predicted structure consists of a complex stem-loop region followed by a single stem loop terminator region. The record is from RNAcentral. RNAcentral also lists the same sequence under 1 other name.
CCUUAUAGAGAGUGACGGAGGGACAGGCCCUGUGAAGUCCGGCAACCUGCAAUAUUUGCAAGGUGCCAAAUCCCACAGCAGUUUUGCUGAAAGAUAAGG